GUGUGAGUGUGGUAGUGAGUGGGGGACAGAGUCAGUGAGUGAGAGUGAGUGGGAGAAAGAGUCAGUGAGUGAGAGUGAGUGGGAGACAGACUGAGUGAGUGGAGCGCUAACACCGCGUCGCCCCCUACACUGAUCUUAUUUGAUCGGCCGGCAUCCCGGGCGCCGGGCCGACGUGAUGAGAAGCCGCGUGUGAGCUCCGGCGGUGAGCGGGCGGCGGCCAAGCCCCGGGUUGGCGGAUGUGAUGAACCGAUCAGAUAGACGAGGCUGCGGCUGUGCCCGGCCGCUGAGUAUCGAGGCGAUUCUGAUCCGC
Non-coding RNA from Mobula hypostoma (lesser devil ray), 310 nucleotides. RefSeq annotates it as small Cajal body-specific RNA 2. The transcript has a single exon. Lineage: Eukaryota; Metazoa; Chordata; Chondrichthyes; Myliobatiformes; Myliobatidae. The record is from RefSeq and is a predicted model, not a curated record.